Passer domesticus (house sparrow) is the source of this 415-nucleotide long non-coding RNA. RefSeq lists it as uncharacterized. The transcript is spliced from 3 exons. Lineage: Eukaryota; Metazoa; Chordata; Aves; Passeriformes; Passeridae. The record is from RefSeq and is a predicted model, not a curated record.
CUCUGCUUUCUGCUCUUCAUUUAUCUCAUCCUUCUUUUCCAUGCUCUUUUUCCUCUAGCACUGCACAGAAAGCUUGUUAAUAUUUUGUUCAGCUACCAGCUAACAGAAUGAGGUUGCAAAUAAGGGAAAUACUUCUGAAGUAGCUGUAUCCUUAAAAAUAUAUGCCUAUAUACUUCAGAUGCUGAGCUUUGGUAUAACAUGUGUAAAAUAUAUUUGCAGAUCAUUUAGUUCAAGCCAUGGUGUGAAAGUCACAUUUCUGAGUAAAACCAAACAUCUGAGACCUUCCGAGUGAGACUUCGCAGGCAAAUUACAAUAGGUCAUCUGUGCUGUAGCCAAAAUAUACUGAGGAAAACGACUGGAGAAUGACACAUUAACAAGGAAAAGGGCACACUUCAGAUGAUGCAUGAAACUGAGG